RNAcentral lists this transfer RNA (67 nucleotides) under Xylosandrus sp. RNAcentral's name for it is "tRNA-Leu". The record is from RNAcentral. Lineage: Eukaryota; Metazoa; Arthropoda; Insecta; Coleoptera; Curculionidae.
GUUGCUUUGACAGAAUAGUGUGAUAGAUUUAGAAUCUUUUUAUGUAGUUAAUUAAUUACAGGUAAUA